AGAGUUUGAUCAUGGCUCAGGACGAACGCUGGCGGCGUGCCUAACACAUGCAAGUCACGGGGGGUAGCAAUACCAACCGGCGAACGGGUGCGGAACACGUGAGCAAUCUGCCGAUUACUGGGGGAUAGCCGGGCCAACGCCCGGGUAAUACCGCAUACGCUCAAGAGGGGACAUCCCCAUUUGAGGAAACCUCCGGGGGUAAUCGAGGAGCUCGCGUCUUAUCAGCUAGUUGGCGGGGUAACGGCCCACCAAGGCUACGACGGGUAGCUGGUCUGAGAGGAUGGCCAGCCACAUUGGGACUGCGACACGGCCCAGACUCCUACGGGAGGCAGCAGUGGGGAAUAUUGCGCAAUGGACGAAAGUCUGACGCAGCGACGCCGCGUGUGGGAUGAAGCUCUUCGGGGUGUAAACCACUGUUGCCCGGGACGAAUCUCUGGUUUCGACCAGAUUGACGGUACCGGGUGAGGAAGCACCGGCUAACUCUGUGCCAGCAGCCGCGGUAAUACAGAGGGUGCGAGCGUUGUCCGGAAUCACUGGGCGUAAAGGGCGCGUAGGUGGCUUGCUAAGCGUGUGGUGAAAGCCUGGGGCUCAACCCCAGGUCUGCCGUGCGAACUGGCAAGCUUGAGCAUAGUAGAGGCAGGUGGAAUUUCGGGUGUAGCGGUGGAAUGCGUAGAUAUCCGAAAGAACACCGGUGGCGAAGGCGGCCUGCUGGGCUAUUGCUGACACUGAGGCGCGACAGCGUGGGGAGCAAACAGGAUUAGAUACCCUGGUAGUCCACGCCGUAAACGAUGGGUACUAGGCGUCUGGGGGAGCGACCCCCUGGGUGCCGGCGCUAACGCAUGAAGUACCCCGCCUGGGGAGUACGGCCGCAAGGCUGAAACUCAAAGGAAUUGACGG
RNAcentral lists this ribosomal RNA (897 nucleotides) under uncultured bacterium. Its description in RNAcentral is "bacterial SSU rRNA". It matches the Rfam family "Bacterial small subunit ribosomal RNA", at positions 8 to 916 of the family's 1533-position model. The record is from RNAcentral.